This 710-nucleotide ribosomal RNA is filed under the name uncultured Staphylococcus sp. RNAcentral's name for it is "bacterial SSU rRNA". It matches the Rfam family "Bacterial small subunit ribosomal RNA", at positions 63 to 759 of the family's 1533-position model. Lineage: Bacteria; Bacillati; Bacillota; Bacilli; Caryophanales; Staphylococcaceae. The record is from RNAcentral.
CGAACAGACGAGGAGCUUGCUCCUCUGACGUUAGCGGCGGACGGGUGAGUAACACGUGGAUAACCUACCUAUAAGACUGGGAUAACUUCGGGAAACCGGAGCUAAUACCGGAUAAUAUAUUGAACCGUAUGGUUCAAUAGUGAAAGACGGUUUUGCAGUCACUUAUAGAUGGAUCCGCGCCGCAUUAGCUAGUUGGUAAGGUAACGGCUUACCAAGGCAACGAUGCGUAGCCGACCUGAGAGGGUGAUCGGCCACACUGGAACUGAGACACGGUCCAGACUCCUACGGGAGGCAGCAGUAGGGAAUCUUCCGCAAUGGGCGAAAGCCUGACGGAGCAACGCCGCGUGAGUGAUGAAGGUCUUCGGAUCGUAAAACUCUGUUAUUAGGGAAGAACAAAUGUGUAAGUAACUAUGCACGUCUUGACGGUACCUAAUCAGAAAGCCACGGCUAACUACGUGCCAGCAGCCGCGGUAAUACGUAGGUGGCAAGCGUUAUCCGGAAUUAUUGGGCGUAAAGCGCGCGUAGGCGGUUUUUUAAGUCUGAUGUGAAAGCCCACGGCUCAACCGUGGAGGGUCAUUGGAAACUGGAAAACUUGAGUGCAGAAGAGGAAAGUGGAAUUCCAUGUGUAGCGGUGAAAUGCGCAGAGAUAUGGAGGAACACCAGUGGCGAAGGCGACUUUCUGGUCUGUAACUGACGCUGAUGUGCGAAAG